Molecule: long non-coding RNA, 2354 nt
Organism: Equus caballus (horse)
Lineage: Eukaryota; Metazoa; Chordata; Mammalia; Perissodactyla; Equidae
Source: RefSeq, a predicted model, not a curated record
CUCUUAAAACUCAAAACAUCCCACAGGCCUCUGCCUGGGGAACUCUGCGCCCACCGUGCCCAUGGACCCCUAGCCCUGGCAUUUUCUCCACAGCCCCCACUUGGAGCAAGGCCCAGGCAAAGUUCCUGCCAAGCACACCUUCACAAGUGCCCUCUCGUCGCUACAGCUCACUGCGCUUCCCAGACCUCGACCCCUGGCAUGGCCUGCCGCUUUCACCACAUCAGCUUUGCUCCUGACGGGCCGAACGUGGCUAACCAUGGCUAACCGAGUGACCUGAGACUUGCCUGACCUUUCUUGUCUCACUCAUCUCCAGAUGGGAAAACCAAGGCUCAGAGAGGGGCAGUGAUUUGCCCUGAGGCACAUAGCUGGCUCCAGAGGGGAGCACGUGAUCCAGGCCGCUGGGUCGGACAAGUGACCGCUCCAGGAUGGACCCAUGUCAGUCCGAUGGGUGUCAGCCCUGGGACUUUGACUAGAACUGUUAAGGAAGACUCCAGUGGGGCUGCUGAGUUGGCAGGAUGUGGGCCUGGAGCUGGCUGAGGGGCGUCUUUGCCGAUAAUGGGGGGAGUCAUCUGAGGAUAAAGCCAGCACUGAGGAAAGCAGAGUUGAGAGAGGGAGAGAGCGGGAGAGAGAGCACUCAGAGAGACUCCUGAUAACAUCCAUGGGUACCAGAUCCCACCAUGUCUGAAGCCAUUAACCUUCUCAGUUAAAUGAGACAAAUUAUCCCUAUUUCUGCUCAAACUAGUUUGAAUUGCAGCUGAAAGAGUCCUUCCUAAUCUGCCUAGUUCCUCCGUAGUGGUCAUUUUUGUCAGUGGGCAGGGACACGGAUGAAAGCUGAGUUGACCUGCUAGUGCCCCCAGGCCCUGAGUGGGAGGACUCCAUCUGGUCCUGGGGCCCUCCCUGGCCACCCUGUAGUGACCCCACUGCACAAUCUCCCAGGGCUGGCCCUGGCCUCCUGAGUUCUCCCCAGGCUCCCAGCAGGCUUCUUGUCCCAUCCUGGCCUCCGGAACCCUGGCUGCUGCUCCCGGUGUGCCCUGGGGCUGGGCCCUUUAGCCUACAGCCUCAGCUCCCUUCCUGUAGCAGCGCUGCUUGGAGGGGUCCACAGGAUUGUCUGCACCUUGUGCGUGUUCCAAGGCCACGUGGGGCCCAGCACUGAGGAAGCAGCAGCGGAAUCGUCAGUUCCUGCUUCUCUCUGUACUCCAGCCCAACAGUACCUCGCCCUCCACCGCCCUUCUCCCUGCUGACUUCAAAUGAGCUCCAGCCGCUCUGAGCUGGAAAAACCCCUCCCUUGCCUCCUGCCUCUCCACUUGCCCACUCGCCCCCCCGCCAUGGGCUCUGCCCCCUCGGUUGGGGAGAUUGCACUCUCCAAGGGCGCUAAUGGCCUCCCCUGCCUGGCACAAGGACGUUUCCCAGUCCCCACGGCCUCCACCCACACAGCCUAGCGCCCCAGCUUUGGAACACUGUGAUCCCUGCAGCUCUGUGGUGGGGGGCAGCUGGGGGGUGCAAUGGGGAGCACCUCAGCCUUUGAUUCUCAGAGCAGCAGACCUGGGCCAUUCUGGCUGGUUGGCUCUGGACAGGUCACUUUCCCUCUCUGAGCCUCAGUUCCCUCAUCUGAAGCGUGCCUUUAAUGACCUCUCUUAAGCGUGUUUGGAUGAUUAAAUCACAUAAAAGCGAUUGCUGUGUGGCUCCUGGCAGAGAGGGGCUGUUCAGAGCAGACACCCCGUGCUUGUUUUUACUUCCAUCUAGGCUAGCUCCUCUUUUCUGAGAUUCAGUCCCCAGCUCUCUGCUCUUAACCCUUAUAUCCCCCUACAACUUCUCGUUCUUCUUCCCUUGGCGCAUGCCUCCCCGCUUCCUCUCUCCAUCCAUCUUGGCUGCUCAGCUAACCUUGGCUGCUAGUUGUCAGUCUUCCUCUUGCCCACCAUAGCCAAGCCUCUUAAAGGAGCUGUCUACACUCUUAUCUACACUCUCUCAUUCCACAUCCUCACCACCCGCCCUCUUAUUCCUCUAACCCUGGCAGCCGCCACAGCUCCCUGCUAAACUGAUCUGGCAAAUGUCACCUUGUUGCGAAAUGCCAUGGGGACUCCUCAGCCUUAUCUGCCUGGUUGACACUGUUGGCAACUUCUGGAAACACUCCUGCCCCGGCCGGCCUCCCUGUCCCCGGAGCUCUCCUCUCCGAGCUCUCCCGAGGUCGUCCUCUGCCUCUCGGGGCUCCUCCCGCUUUCUCUGCCCAGGGCUGCUUCCCGGUUUCUCAUCUCUUCUCUAUGCUUGGGGCCCAGUUGUCCUCACACUGGAUUUGGCCCACGUUUAUUGUUUUUCUUAAUAGGAUUUAAAAAAAUCUAACUUAGUUGCCAACAUUC